This 460-nucleotide ribosomal RNA is filed under the name uncultured bacterium. RNAcentral's name for it is "partial 16S ribosomal RNA". It matches the Rfam family "Bacterial small subunit ribosomal RNA", at positions 338 to 795 of the family's 1533-position model. The record is from RNAcentral.
CCUACGGGAGGCAGCAGUGAGGAAUAUUGGUCAAUGGACGAGAGUCUGAACCAGCCAAGUAGCGUGAAGGAUGACUGCCCUAUGGGUUGUAAACUUCUUUUAUAUGGGAAUAAAACGUUCCACGUGUGGGAUUUUGUAUGUACCAUAUGAAUAAGGAUCGGCUAACUCCGUGCCAGCAGCCGCGGUAAUACGGAGGAUCCGCGCGUUAUCCGGAUUUAUUGGGUUUAAAGGGUGCGUAGGUGGAUUUUUAAGUCAGUUGUGAAAGUUUGCGGCGCAACCGUAAAAUUGCAGUUGAAACUGGCAGUCUUGAGUACAGUAGAGGUGGGCGGAAUUCGUGGUGUAGCGGUGAAAUGCUUAGAUAUCACGAAGAACUCCGAUUGCGAAGGCAGUUCACUGGACUGCAACUGACACUGAGGCUCGAAAGUGUGGGUAUCAAACAGGAUUAGAUACCCGGGUAGUC